RNAcentral lists this ribosomal RNA (516 nucleotides) under Triticum aestivum (bread wheat). RNAcentral's name for it is "partial small subunit ribosomal RNA". The record is from RNAcentral. Lineage: Eukaryota; Viridiplantae; Streptophyta; Magnoliopsida; Poales; Poaceae.
AUGGGAGGGGGGAAGUACACAUGGUCCCAUAAGCAAAAGCAUCCUACUUUGGAGAAAUUAGACAGAAUCCUUGUGAAUUUUGAGUGGGAGGACUUAUUCCUUUUGGUGUCUGUUCGUAAGCUGGUGAGAGAUACCUCAUAUCACAACCCAUUGCUUUUGACCACGGAACCUGUGAAAACAAGCCCUUCCCAUAAUCGGGAGUUCAGAUUUGAGUUGAGCUGGCUCAAGAAUGAAGAGUUUUAUAUCAAAGCUAAGAAUAUGUGGGAGCAACCUGUGAAUUCUGAGGAUCCCAUUGAUAUCUUGAAUAUCAAGCUCAAGCGUAUCAAGAAAUACUUCAAGGGAUGGGGGGCUCACUCCUUUGGACAUGCUAGAAAAAGGAAAAAGCAUAUUAAAGAAGAAUUAGAGAGGAUUGAGAGGUUGGAAGAAAGCGGUCCCCUUGAUCCAGAAGUUUAUGAAGAAAGGACCUCCUUGUGUGCGGAGUUGAAUGACCUUCUAGUUAUGGAAGAACCGUUCUAG